GAUGAACGCUAGCGGCAGGCUUAACACAUGCAAUUCGAGGGCUAGAGGCUUUCGGGACUCGAGACCGGCCCACGGGUGCGUAACGCGUAUGCAAUCUGCCUUUCACAGAGGGAUAGCCCAGAGAAAGUUGGAUUAAUACCGCAUAGCAUUGGAGAGGGGCAUCCUUUUCCAAUUAAAGUCACAACGGUUAAAGAAGAGCAUGCGUCCCAUUAGCUCGUUGGUAAGGUAACGGGUUACCAAGGCUACGAAGGGUAGGGGUCCUGAGAGGGAGAUCCCCCACACUGGUACUGAGACACGGACCAGACUCCUACGGGAGGCAGCAGUGAGGAAUGUUGGGGAAUGGGCGCAAGCCUGAACCAGCCAUGCCGCGUGCAGGAUGACGGUCCUAUGGAUUGUAAACUGCUUUUGUACGGGAAGAAACACUGAUACGUGAAUCAGCUUGACGGUACCGUAAGAAUAAGGAUCGGCUAACUCCGUGCCAGCAGCCGCCGUAA
RNAcentral lists this ribosomal RNA (494 nucleotides) under uncultured bacterium. RNAcentral describes it as "partial 16S ribosomal RNA". It matches the Rfam family "Bacterial small subunit ribosomal RNA", at positions 28 to 523 of the family's 1533-position model. The record is from RNAcentral.